UACGAAGGGGGCUAGCGUUGCUCGGAAUGACUGGGCGUAAAGGGCGCGUAGGCGGCUUGCACCGUCAGAUGUGAAAUUCCUGGGCUUAACCUGGGGGCUGCAUUUGAUACGUGUGGGCUUGAGUGCGGAAGAGGGUCGUGGAAUUCCCAGUGUAGAGGUGAAAUUCGUAGAUAUUGGGAAGAACACCGGUGGCGAAGGCGGUCUUCUGGACGGUGACUGACGCUGAGGCGCGAAAGCGUGGGGAGCAAACGGG
RNAcentral lists this ribosomal RNA (253 nucleotides) under uncultured bacterium. RNAcentral's name for it is "partial 16S ribosomal RNA". It matches the Rfam family "Bacterial small subunit ribosomal RNA", at positions 524 to 776 of the family's 1533-position model. The record is from RNAcentral.